Molecule: non-coding RNA, 90 nt
Organism: Mycena polygramma
Lineage: Eukaryota; Fungi; Basidiomycota; Agaricomycetes; Agaricales; Mycenaceae
Source: the annotation of a GenBank genome assembly
GGCCUGGUGUCGUAGCGGUAACGUACCCUCUUGUGUUAGCCAGUUGACCAUGUUCUGAGGGAGUCCCUUGUUCAAACCAAGGCCAGACCA